AUUGAACGCUGGCGGCAUGCUUUACACAUGCAAGUCGAACGGCAGCACGGGCUUCGGCCUGGUGGCGAGUGGCGAACGGGUGAGUAAUAUAUCGGAACGUACCCAGAAGUGGGGGAUAACGUAGCGAAAGUUACGCUAAUACCGCAUACGAUCUAUGGAUGAAAGCAGGGGACCGCAAGGCCUUGUGCUCCUGGAGCGGCCGAUAUCUGAUUAGCUAGUUGGUGAGGUAAAGGCUCACCAAGGCGACGAUCAGUAGCUGGUCUGAGAGGACGACCAGCCACACUGGAACUGAGACACGGUCCAGACUCCUACGGGAGGCAGCAGUGGGGAAUUUUGGACAAUGGGCGCAAGCCUGAUCCAGCAAUGCCGCGUGAGUGAAGAAGGCCUUCGGGUUGUAAAGCUCUUUUGUCAGGGAAGAAACGGUAGAGGCUAAUAUCCUUUGCUAAUGACGGUACCUGAAGAAUAAGCACCGGCUAACUACGCG
RNAcentral lists this ribosomal RNA (484 nucleotides) under uncultured bacterium. Its description in RNAcentral is "partial 16S ribosomal RNA". It matches the Rfam family "Bacterial small subunit ribosomal RNA", at positions 30 to 507 of the family's 1533-position model. The record is from RNAcentral.